This 492-nucleotide long non-coding RNA is filed under the name Nicotiana benthamiana. Its description in RNAcentral is "long non-coding RNA (NBEN_LNC024042)". Lineage: Eukaryota; Viridiplantae; Streptophyta; Magnoliopsida; Solanales; Solanaceae. The record is from RNAcentral.
AUGAGCUGCAGCUGCAGCAUCAAGCAGUGGCAACAAAGACUAGAACUCUUCAUGAUGCGUGCGAUAGACUGGUGUGUUAACCCAUUUCUCUUAGCCUAUGUGGUUAUCUUAGCAAUAGAUUGUACUUUACUGUAUUGCUCUUUUCAACAUUUUGUAGAACGUAGGAACAAUUUAGUUGCAUGGUAAGAGGAUACGCUUGUAAGCGUGAUAGACUGGUGUGUCAACCCAUUUCUCUUAGCCUAUGUGGUUAUCUUAGCAAUAGAUUGUACUUCACUGUAUUACUCUUUUCAACAUUUUGUAGAACGUAGGAACAAUUUAGUUGCAUGGUAAGAGGAUACGCUUGUAAGCGAUGGUGUUUAUUGUAAAAAAGAUAUGAGUUUGCAUCAGUCUAUGAUGCCGAAAGUCCUUACCUCCAAUCUACUCUUUUGUUGGAUUUUAGCCUGAUGUGUUUAAUAGUUGCCAAACAUCUUCAAUUCCCACCUAGCACCAAGU